CGUGCACCGGUGGGGUCCCUUGGCCUGGCCUGUGCCCUCUCGCAAUUCAGGACCCCUUGGGGAAUGUUGGAGAGCCGGUUUCAGUCCAAUCCCACAGGCCAGGCCGAGGGACUCCACUGGUGCACG
This 126-nucleotide microRNA precursor is filed under the name Myotis lucifugus (little brown bat). RNAcentral describes it as "mir-9193 microRNA precursor family". It matches the Rfam family "mir-9193 microRNA precursor family". The record is from Rfam by way of RNAcentral. Lineage: Eukaryota; Metazoa; Chordata; Mammalia; Chiroptera; Vespertilionidae.